RNAcentral lists this transfer RNA (65 nucleotides) under Stegodyphus mimosarum. It matches the Rfam family "tRNA". From Rfam's summary of the family: Transfer RNA (tRNA) molecules are approximately 80 nucleotides in length. Their secondary structure includes four short double-helical elements and three loops (D, anti-codon, and T loops). Further hydrogen bonds mediate the characteristic L-shaped molecular structure. tRNAs have two regions of fundamental functional importance: the anti-codon, which is responsible for specific mRNA codon recognition, and the 3' end, to which the tRNAs corresponding amino acid is attached (by aminoacyl-tRNA synthetases). tRNAs cope with the degeneracy of the genetic code in two manners: having more than one tRNA (with a specific anti-codon) for a particular amino acid; and 'wobble' base-pairing, i.e. permitting non-standard base-pairing at the 3rd anti-codon position. Lineage: Eukaryota; Metazoa; Arthropoda; Arachnida; Araneae; Eresidae. The record is from Rfam by way of RNAcentral.
GCCGAAAUAGCUCAUUUGAGAGAGCGUCAGUCUGAAGGUCCCUGGUUCGAUCCCGGGUUUCGGCA